RNAcentral lists this ribosomal RNA (254 nucleotides) under uncultured bacterium. RNAcentral's name for it is "partial 16S ribosomal RNA". It matches the Rfam family "Bacterial small subunit ribosomal RNA", at positions 524 to 776 of the family's 1533-position model. The record is from RNAcentral.
CACGUAGGGGCCAAGCGUUGUCCGGAUUCAUUGGGUGUAAAGAGCUCGUAGGCGGUUCAGUCAGUCGGGUGUGAAAUCUCCGGGCUCAACCCGGAGGGGCCACCCGAUACUGCUGUGACUCGAGUCCGGUAGGGGAGUGGGGAAUUCCUGGUGUAGCGGUGGAAUGCGCAGAUAUCAGGAGGAACACCGAUGGCGAAGGCAGUUCUCUGGGCCGUAACUGACGCUGAGGAGCGAAAGCGUGGGGAGCGAACAGG